This 119-nucleotide ribosomal RNA is filed under the name Pteropus alecto (black flying fox). The record is from RNAcentral. Lineage: Eukaryota; Metazoa; Chordata; Mammalia; Chiroptera; Pteropodidae.
GUCUACAGCCAUGCCACCCUGAACAAGCCCGAUCCUGUCUGAUCUCGGAAGCUAAGCAGGGUCAGGCCUGGUUAGUACUUGGAGGGGAGACCACCUAGGAAGACCAGGUGCCGUAGGCG